This 780-nucleotide long non-coding RNA is filed under the name Leguminivora glycinivorella. RNAcentral describes it as "uncharacterized LOC125229626". Lineage: Eukaryota; Metazoa; Arthropoda; Insecta; Lepidoptera; Tortricidae. The record is from RNAcentral.
CACACCUCGUUUAAAGAGUAAACAUCAAAAAUAUAUCUUCGAUUAAUUUACUUGACCUAGGCUACCUAACUGUACUUGGAAUUUAUAAAAUUUUUGCGGUUCCAAACAAUGAAAUGACUUAAUUAUUUUUCUGAGGCACUAGCUUAUUGAUUAUGGAAAGUAAUAUUUGUAGGCCUUCAAAUAAAUGUUAUGGCAUUUAAAAAUAACCAUUGAGUCUUGUACAAACUUUGUAUUUUUCAAAGAUAAAGAUUGACUUUGGAUUGGACACUUAAAUAAAAUUAUGUAGACUGAAAAUCUAGACUUAAUAUAAAUAUUGUUCUUGUUACAAUGGGUUUAAACAAUGUAUGUAUUAAUUUUCAGUAUAUCUAAUCGGUAAUCAACACCUAAACAAUUCCAACUAGUUGCAAGCUGAACGGGACAAUUUUCCGGUGUGUCCUUUAUGGACUGUACCCUGUCAUAGCACUAUCUCCAAGUUUUACCCGAGAGGCCACGCCUCAAGUCGGACUUUCCUCCACACAUCUACUGACUUCAUAUAAAUGAAAGUGUACUAAGGACUCACUAAUCUGCACUACCAGUAACAAAGUAAUCCGACAAUCAGACUGGACCCGGUCAUGUUAGAAUCCAGAGGUAGGAAAUGAAAAUACAAUUGACUCCGCAUCGAUGCAUGACCUCGCCCGGAACGCGGCAAGAAAAAAACAAUGGAAGAAAAUACUACAGACGUGUUUAUUAACAAUAAAGUUAUUUUUGUUUUUAUGAAAUAGCGAUUGAAUAAAAAUAUUA